GGGACUCCAUCCCAGGACUCCAAGAUCACACCCUGGGCCUAAGGCGCGAAACUCCAUUGGCCAGAAGCUCCUGUGUUUGGGACCUCUCCCUAUGGAUCUCUUCAUCUGGCUGUUCAUUUAUGAUGGAUUUGUUUGGUUACUUACUUUACUAUGAGAAAUUUCAGAGGAAGGAAAAGGAAAGAAGGACGAGCUGCGUGUGUCAUAUCACAACUGAGUUGGAGCAAGAGGCCUCCUGGGGUCUUGGUGGUGGGCCAACCAGUGAAAACGGGAUGAGCAUAUGGAGCAUUCUGAGAGUCUUAUAAAGGCAUCGUGCUAAUGAAAAAAUGAUUGGAGAGAGUUAGACAGGAUUGAGAAGCCAUGCAUGAACCUUCACCCCCUGUGGACUCUAUAUAGGCUGGAAUAGAUCUUAAUCAUAAAAUGAAGAGCCAUCCUAAUCGUCUUCAGGAUUAUAUGUGUGUUUGACUAAAGAUAAGACAAUUUUGCUACAGACGACAUUUCUUCCCUUUUAUAAUAAGCAGUAGAGUUUUGAGGUUACUCGAGUUCUUUCUCUCCUUGGCUUGAUACCGAAGGUGGUUGCGCUCCAGAAGAAGAAGAGAAUGAAGGGUAGAACCUGAGUCAGACAGAAAAGUCUUCUGUGGAAGAUUCCGUAUAUCUCAAGCAGAAAAGGAAGCGAUCGACCACCGAGUUAAACAGCUGGUCAGUGAAAAAAAGGCCUAACAGUUGGCCAACCAAUUAGUUCAAGAGACAGUUGGCUGCAGGUGGUAAGGUAAGAGCCAAGUCUGGACUCUGACUGAAGGGAUUUUGCCAGGGCUUGGUGUUUGACCUUCUAGGGGCCUUGGCUUGCUGUAGGAAAGCUUAAAGAACUGACUUCUUAUGAGCCUCAGAGACCCGCAGAGUUCCUUCCAGUAGUGACAUGGAGUUGGGCUGCCAUAUUGGGCAUAAUAGAAAUUUUUCCAAAUAGAGCGGGGGAUGAAGUGCUGGUUACUAAGAGUAAAGAGAAAUCUCAUUUUCCUGGUGAGAUUUUCUAUAACUGCAGAAAAUCCGUAAAGGUCAGUUUGUUCCUUGAGAUUGUCCAUCAGAGAAUAUCCAGGGCUGCAGGCCCACAUGAGAACAGGCUGACUUUCUUGGUUGCUGGGGAAGGAAGAAGGUUGGAAGAGAUCCACUGGGGUGAGGGGCCUACCACCAGAAACACUUGUUUGCUCUGCAAGUACUCACUGGACCCUGUUCUAUGUGAGGCCCACAUUCCAUUAAGGGGGGUAAAAAUGGAGAUAAUUCCCAUAGAAGGUAAUUGCUGUUUAUAACCAAAGUAUCACACUUCAGGGAGAAAAGCAUGGCCAGGUUUCUUUAGGAAAGAUUUCUGGGGAAGAUUCCUAGAAGAGAUGCUCUCUGAGCUGAAUUUUGAAGUAAGAAUAGGCAUUUUCUCAAACAGUGUAUUGGAGAGAACAGAAGGAAGUUCCGUGUAGCUGGAAUAUUCAAUAUGAGGAGAGCUGUGGCAGGAGAUGAUGUCAGAGACACGGUUCUGGCCAAGGUCAUGAUGGCUCUGAAAUGCAGAGCUAGGGAAUCAGACUUUGUCUAGAUAUGGAGAAACACUGCACUUUUUAAAAAAAGAUUUUAAGUAAUCUCUGUACCUAAUGUGGGGCUCAAACGCACAACCCCAAGAUGGAGAGUUGCAUGCUCUGCCAUCUGAGCCAGCCAGGCACCCCAACACUGAGCAGUUUUAAGCACAGUAAGGAAGUGCAUUUUAGGAAAAGGACUCUUAUCUGUGAUGGGGUGGAAUAGAGUAAGCCAAGGCUGGAGGCUGAGAGGUAAGCAGGGAACUCUUCCAAUAGUCAAGGCAAGGGACCACAAAUACCUGAAUGACGGGCAAUGACCACAGUGAGGGGAAGCGUGUGUCUCUGCCUGCACUUUCUCUCCCUGAUGCCAAGGAUGCAGGCCUUCCUCCCACCUCUAGUGCUCAGCCUGGUCAGCAGUUGCUUCCUUGCUCAAGGCUUGCUGCCAUGGUCUGGAGCUGGCUCAGGGCACAGAUUCUGGCUCUUAGAAAGAUCGCGUGUUGGGGCCAAGAGACACACGUGUGGGAGUCAGAGAAGAGGAAUCCAACCCCAAUGCCAGCACAUUUUUGAUCAAAUUGUGAUCCACCCCACCAAAUUCUGUGUUGACACCUAACGCCCAAUGUGACUCUAUUUGGAGAAAGGAAUUUCAUAAGGUAAUUAAGCUUAAAUGAGGUCUUAAUGGUGGGACCCUAACUGAGAGGCUGUUGAGCUUAUAAAGAGAGGAAGAGAUGCCAGAAAUGCUUUUCUCUUCCUUCACACGCAUAAAAGAAAGUCCGUAUGAGGACACAUCAAGAAGGUGGCCAUCUGUAAACCAGGAUGAGAGGCCUCACCAGACACCAGCCCUCUUGGCACCUUGCUCUUGAAAUUCUAGCCUCCAGAACUGAGAAAAGAAAUUCCUGUUGUUCAAACCAUUGAAGGGGAACAGAAUAUGCCACCCCCAAAUAUGCCACUUAGCCAUGGGAUUGUUUAGAGCUGAAGGCAAUUGAGAAGUAGAUACAAGAAAAGCUUUCUCUGCCUAAAAAUAGGAUAUAAAUCUCCUCUCCUCUCUACCAGUAAAAACAAAAGUCAAUCACUGGAGACAACUUUAACCGUCUGGCAAUGGAGAGGAAUCUAUAUGACAAACUUUACUAACCCGGCUUCAUCUACCACUAGUUUGCUGCUCCUAGAGACUCAAGGUCCUCUUCCUUGGUCUUGACACAUUCUAAUAAUGUUGUUCUUCUGUUAAGAUGCUAUAUAAGCCCCAAUUCUAAUGAGCCCUUUGAGUUACUCAUGUCUGAGUGUUUCCAUGUGUAAGGGUGAGGCACAUGCUAAUAAAUCUGUUUUUCUCUUGUGGAUCUGCCUUUUGUCAGCCCAAUUUACAAGGUCCCAGUCAAAGAACUUAAGAGGGCAGUAGGAAAAAGAAUUCUUUCUCCCUACACCACCCAGUCUAUGGUAUUUUAUUAUGGCAGCCUGAGUUGGCUCAUACACACCAUCGGCAGCUAAUUCUCUUAAAGAAAUUAUUUAAACAGACCGAGCCUCGUUUUCCUAAUCUCUAAAAUAAAGUGGUAAAAUAAUAAUAAUCCCUACUUCACAGGGCUCUUGGGAGUGUCAGAUGAGGUACACAACCAGCAAAUGGAGCUCACAUGAAAACUCUUUAUAAAAAAUUGUACAUAUAAAAUAAAUAAUAAAUAUUCCUU
Molecule: long non-coding RNA, 3226 nt
Organism: Canis lupus familiaris (dog)
Lineage: Eukaryota; Metazoa; Chordata; Mammalia; Carnivora; Canidae
Exons: 4
Source: RefSeq, a predicted model, not a curated record